GAUGAAGAACGUAGCGAAACGCGAUAUGUAAUGUGAAUUGCAGAAUUCAGUGAAUCAUCGAAUCUUUGAACGCACAUUGCGCCCGCCAGUAUUCUGGCGGGCAUGCCUGUUCGAGCGUCAUUACAACCCUCAGGCCCCCGGGCCUGGCGUUGGGGAUCGGCGGAGCCCCCCGUGGGCACACGCCGUCCCCCAAAUGCAGUGGCGGUCCCGCCGCAGCUUCCAUCGCGUAGUAGCUAACACCUCGCGACUGGAGAGCGGCGCGGCCACGCCGUAAAACACCCAACUCUUCUGAAGUUGACCUCGAAUCAGGUAGGAAUACCCGCUGAACUUAAGCAUAUCAAUAAGCGGAGGA
This 352-nucleotide unclassified non-coding RNA is filed under the name soil metagenome. Its description in RNAcentral is "partial contains 5.8S ribosomal RNA, internal transcribed spacer 2, and large subunit ribosomal RNA". The stretch from base 1 to 120 matches the Rfam family "5.8S ribosomal RNA", at positions 35 to 154 of the family's 154-position model. The record is from RNAcentral.